RNAcentral lists this long non-coding RNA (14986 nucleotides) under Fragaria vesca (wild strawberry). RNAcentral's name for it is "long non-coding RNA (FVES_LNC003391)". Lineage: Eukaryota; Viridiplantae; Streptophyta; Magnoliopsida; Rosales; Rosaceae. The record is from RNAcentral.
ACGAAAACGCUCAUAUCUCCCUCUAUAUUACGUAGUUUGGUCAAACCUUCCACACGAAAAACUUUCACGUAGAUGAGACGCAACCGCCUAUAUAAAAAUUUUGAGACAUUUGCCUUCCGACGAUAGGGCUCCCCAUAGAGAAUAAUAACGGUAAAUAGGGUUGACCGCUACUAUCGGCACCGAGACUUUACCCGAUUUACGUGAUUUUUGAACCAUAGCCGUAUUUCACCAUUCUGAACACAUCUUAUUUCACGAGAUUUUUAAUAAUUUUGCUUUCUUUUUAGAGUUGGUUCACAAAAUUGUAUAACCUACUAAACAAGUUAUACAACAUUAGUAGACACGUUGUGAUUCCGAUGACUAAAAUUCACAAACCAAAAUUCGACCGUCAGAUAUGAUCAUUAUGACGAAAGAUGUCUAUGGUAAAAAAUUCAACUGGAUCCGACAACGUUAAGGACUCGAUCGAAACGGGUAACCCUAAUCCAUCCUCACUUAUCACACGAAAACGCUAAUAUCUCCCUCUAUAUUACGUGGUUUGGUCAAACAUUCCACACAAAAAACUCUCACGUAGAUGAGACGCAACUGCCCAUAUAAAAAUUUUGAGACAUUUACCUUCCGACGAUAGGGCUCCCCAUAGGGAAUAAUAACGGUAAAUAGUAGACACGUUGUGAUUCCGAUGACUAAAAUUUACAAACCAAAAUUCGACCGUCCGAUAUGAUCAUUAUGAUGAAAGAUGUCUAUGGUAAAAAAUUCAACUGGAUUCGACAACGUUAAGGUUCAGCUGGAGUCAACUCUAAUCGGAAAUAAGAAAACUGCAUUUUGAAGCCAUAAACGGACUCGGAUGGCCAAAAAGGCCCAUACAUCAUGGCCUUAGCCAUGAGUUUGACUCGUAGGGCCGUUACACUUCCAGAAAGGUAUCACAAUAGUCAAUCGGACACCAAAAACCAAAUCUGCAGCAUAGUGAAUAAUAAGGGUAAAUUGCAUUGACCGCAACUAUCGGCACCGAGACUUUACCGGAAUACCGUGAUUUUUCAACCGUGGACGUAUUUCACCAUUCUGGUCAUAUCUUAUUUCACGAUUUUUUUGCGUUUGAAGGUUCUACGUAUAGUUUUUUUUCUCAGAUGAGUUGUUGUCUAGAUCUGCAAAUAUAAGGCACUUUAGCCGACGAAAUUAAGGCACUUUAGCCGACGAAAUUAUAUUUUUCGUGGGCUAAACUUUUAAAAAUUUCGUCGGCUAAAGUUCACAGAGUAUAGCCGACGAAAAAAAUUAUUUAGACGGCGAAAUUUUAAUUUCGUCGGCUAAAAUUGACCAUAGCCGACGAAAAUUUUUAAUUAGCCGACGAAGGGAAAUUUUAGCCGACGAAAAAAUAAUUUGUCGGCCUGGUUUUUUUAUUUUCGUCGGCUAAAGUCUUUCUUCUGGUAGUGUCUGCUCUAGAGUACGAGUACCCGUAGGUAUGCACACUCUUUCCUGAGCAAUAGAAAUAGCUAACCCAAAUAAAAACGCAUAAAUUUGCUAUCACCAUCGGGCUCAAAUCUCCUAACGUCAUGCAACAACCUCAUCAUUACGCUGCUCACAGCUCGACAAUGAAGCCCACUUGCUAGGAAACUAAAGUUCACACAUUCCCACAUGCUCAUAGGGGUCAAAAUUAAGACCCGCUAAUUAAACAGAUUUUUAAGGAUGCACCCACUGCAGAACUGCAACAAUCACUUCUAAUGCCGACACAUUUCGUAGGGUCUUUCGCAGAGUCAAAGCUCUCGCAAGUCCACAAGACAACCUUGCUCUGCCUAAGAGACCAGUCCACCAACAUAUGAUAAUCUCGAUUCUCGAAAUAACAUUAUGAAAAGAUCAAUACCACGUCACUUAGGUCUCUUCACCAAAACUAUUACAUUAUCUUUUUGAACACCACAAACUAGCAGCUUAUGAGAAUUUCAACUCUCUCUUGAUUUUGCUAUCUCCACUAUUCUCUUUACCACAAACCAGAAGAUAAUUUGAAACAUGACUAUCAUGUGGAAACUGGAUAUUCCUCCUUGCUCGCUAUAAGCAAAAACCAACUAAUUAUGGCCAUGAAAAAUUGGCACACAUCCAAUUCAUGAUGCUCAACUUGACGUUGAAAUCCACAUAAAUAGAACACCUUCCUUAAGCAUUGACAAAAAAAUUUACAUCUUCAGCCAUGCUACUUAUUCGGUUACAACCGUGACCCCAAAUUCAAUAAUUAAAAGCACACGGCUCACUCUAGCCAUUCCAUAAGAAUGAUUCAUCCUGACACCAAUGGAUGAACGCACAACCAAAAAGCGAAGACCUCCCAAAUCAAACUUGGAUCAAUGAGUGGUCCCACCACAAAACGAUCCCGAGAAGAGACGUUGAUCAACCUAUCAAUAAAUAUACUAUUCACCGUAAUAAGUAUCUUAAUAAACCUUGACUCGAAAAGCUUCUUGAGUCAACAGGGGAAAAACCUUCUCUCAUAAAGCUACAUCAUUAAAUAUACCUACAACGACACAAACCAUCUAAUCAACAUCACCACACGACUCUUAGACUACCACAUAGGACUUUUGGCUCCAAGAUUCAUCGCUUAAUUAAACUCCAGCUCACUUGGGAUCACGACUGGAUUUAUCCAGGAUCCAUGCCUACGACACAACAACCAAUUUAUCAUUUACCUCGAAACUUUGACAAAAUAACCAGAAUCUCUAACCUUCAAAUUGAAGAAUUUGAAUUCGCACUCCAAAAUUUCAAGCUCUGAGGACGCUACCCAAAACUACAGCAGAAAUAAUUUAUACAUUUCCAACACACCACAACUAAAACUCUAAUCCACUUCACCAAAUUAAAAAUAAGGUGAGAACAGAUCCUCCCAUUGUUGUGUCGUAGUUAGUCACCCAUUGCGAACAAAAUGAUGACAAAAACCAACUUCGAUCACAACUUUGAGACUUACAUCAACCACCCAGAACGACACUGCUUAAAAAAAAUUACUUUGGACACCCACGCACUCUUGCUCUAGGAUCCAGUGGGUUUUAUUCCACUGCUACCACUUCCACCAACUCCACACAACUGCUAAAGAACACCAAUGACAACACAUAUUAAAUUCACCAGGUGUUGUCGUAAAACCGAAGUAACCACAACAAUCCCGCUCUCACUCCACCAUUACUUUUCAAUUCCAUUACAUUAUCAUCUUCCCAAACACUCAACAAAUCUGGAAACCAAACUUCAACACCUAGAGUUCUGAAAGAAUCUACAAUGGCCCCACGAUUAAAUUAAUAAAAUCAACAUCUCACUUCACGAUUCCAAACUUGCUUAAAACUCAAACCAUUUAGUGCCACCAUUCAAUUUCUAAAAUCUCCCGACUGUGGCACGACAACAAGUUGUCACAACACACUGACCAAUGACUUUUGAAAAACCAACCUAAGGAAAAGCAAUUCAAGUCAUUACACAUAGUGCUUAAACAAACUUCAACUAACCCACAAUAGCGACCAAAAUCAUCAGAAAUCUUACUAUACAUCGAUUAUUAUUAUCCGUCAUUUCCAAAAGAUAUUACCACCACCAUCUUAAUAAAUUGCUCAAAAGAUAAAAACUUAUCCAUAAUUAGAGUUGUAAGAACCAGAAUAUGUGCUGACAUAAUCAGCAUUAUUCCAAAAUGUUCUCAACUGCUUUCUACUGCGGAAAAACAUAGUCGGCAAAAUGGCCUUCAAUCAUGACUUAUCUAAAUUGACAUUUAGCUCUUUAUGCAGCAAUGCCUUACCACCCAAUCAUUAGCCACAAAUUCCCUAAAACCUUAUUUAACCCAAGACUAGGGUCCUUAACAACUCAUAUAGGUACCCCUUUGAAUUACCAUUGGAUACCUCACCUCAUCAUUUCAACUAACUUUUACAUCAAUAGAAUACACCACUACUUCGAACUUUCCUUCCAACUCGACUCUCUCAAAAGUCACGUAACUCAAUACCAAAAUCUCCCAUCAAUCAAUUUUUGAUUCCAAUCUUGCCCACUAAAAAUGGACAACUCCUAGGCAUUAAUCAUCAACAUUUCACCCAACAGAUUUGCACAAGAUGCUCACUUUAGCAUAUUAAUCUGAAACCUUAAUCUUAACCCAAUCAAUCAUUCGAUACCUGAAAGGAAUGCUAACAAGCUUUUUCGUUCCCCACUCGCAAAUAAACUCCAACCAUUAAUAUCAAAGAUAUUAAAUUAAGGACUAAUUUCAGUUUACCCCCAUCAACUUUAAGUCGAUCAUCAUGUUAGUCCUUCUUCUUUCAAUUUCAUCAAAAACACCCCUCAACUCCCAAUUUUCAUCAGCUGCGCAUGUCCAAACCUCUAAUCUCCAUUCAAUUCCUCUGUCAAGUGAUGACUUGAUAUCAAGAAGAAAAUCAAAUUAUAAAAGUUACCUUUCGGACCAUUUUUCCCCCAUAUCGAUACACAUCUUUGUUCCAAUCACAACCCCCUAACCUUAGUGAUUUUGGUGGGAUUGAAUGCAAUUUGUCUAUUUUUCCUUUUUUCUUUCUUCUUGAUAUCAAGUCAUCACUUGACAGAGGAAUUAGUUGGAGAUUGGAGGUUUGGACAUGCGCGGCUGAUGAAAAUUGGGAGUUGAGGGGUGUUUUUGAUGAAAUUGAAAGAAGAAGGACUAACAUGAUGAUCGACCUAAAGUUGAUGGGGGUAAACUGAAAUUAAUCCUUAAAUUAAUGAACCUUGGAAUAGGUGCAAACUAUACACCUUUUCAAAACUCGAAUGAUGAACACUCAAGAGGUCGGCGUACGGAUUCAUAGUCUUGAAGAUAUAGACAUUUAUGGAUAAUACUGUCCAUAGAUAAGACAAGAAUUACUAUAUCACAAACCUAAGCAACACAUAGUGUCUAAAGCAUAUAAUGCUAAUAGAUCCACCGCGGUCGGACCAUCACUCUAUAGACAUUAAGUAUGACCAAGAAUAUGAGGUAGUACUAAAAGAGAAAGGAAUCGAAUAACCUAGUGCUCUGAUACCAACUAUCAGGACCCACCCCGAAUUUCACCCUGAAACCCGAAGUAAAUCCUGCGGGGACCAUCUCCAACGAAAAUUUACCGAAAAUUCGGCAUAACCUCCCUUGAAAAUGGACAACCCUUCCUAAAAAAAAACCUGCAAACACUUCUGAAAUUUUAAAUCCAACCAUAAACUCCUGGAGCCUUCGUGCUCCCCAAAUCACAACACCACCCAAAUUAAAUACUAACUUUAAACAAAUCUCAUAACCAACCAUUUAUAGGUUCAGAGCAAUUCUAACUGAGAGGAAAAUAAUUAGAAAUUUAGAAAUGAGCGGAAGCUAUACUAUUGACUAUGCCUCUUCUCCAUGUACGCCCGAUCUCAACUAGGCCAACCUGCCAACUAGGCAUUUUAAAACGAAUGGCCCAAGGGAAAACAUUUGAAACACGUUAGAGUGAGUGGACAAAAAUAAAUUAAUAAAUAUUUAUGCAUUCCCAAUUUGAAUUUCAUAGAAAAUAUAUUGCAUGCGGCAGCUCAAAAGCUCUCAACUCAACGAUUGGCAAUUUCGUGACUGGCUCCGGCUAGUCUCCAAACUUAACAAAGAUAAAGCCUCUCAGGCUAAAUUAUAUAUAAAAAUAUAUAUAUAUAUAUAUAUGUGUGUAUGUAUUUAUACUUGUCAUACUCAUUGUAUGAAUUCUAUGAAGGAAUAAGCAAAAUAGAAAUUCAUACAAAACUACUACGCUUACGUCUAACGCUCACGUCAGACCAUAAUGAAAUUUUUCCUCAUUAUGGCGGAAAAGCACGAGUGUAUAUACGUGUGGACCCCUCUAUGAAAACCUAUAUGAACCAGAAAAGAAAAUAGUUUUCAUAUAGGACUACUACGCUUGUGUCUAACACACAUGUCACGCCAUAAUGGUAUUUUACCUCAUUAUGAUGGAUCAAACACGUAUGGCUAGCUAGCAUUUAUAUACACAUACUAUCCUCAUAAACAUUCAAUAAACAUAUCCACCAAAAAUCUCAUUUCCGGGAACUCUCCAAAAGAGAAAAAUUGUCAAAUAUCCAAGAAAUAAAUAAAUCUUAGCAAAAGAAAUAAAUGAUCAACAAAAUAAUUCAUCGCAUGCUUUUCAAUUAAAACAAAGGUCCACUCACAACUUUAGGCCUCAGCCUGACGCCGAUCCGACUUCUGCUUGAUCCUCCUCACGUCCUGUUUCCAAAUGUAAGCCUGACGUCGAUCCGAGGUCUCUUCUGCUUGAGCCUCCUCACGUCCUGUUUCCAAAUGUAUAAUUAAUUUCCCAUUUUAAAAAAAUUCAAUAGUUAAACAAAAUGGGCAAAAUUAAACGUGAGCCUCCCACACACUCAUCAUUGCCCAACUUCGCCAUUCUUAACUCAAUAUGGCUCAAACUUCACCGAACAUACCGGCAACCUUAAUUCAACCUUCUACGGAUUAAUGACUUAAAUCCUACAGCUGAAUUCUACAUUAAUUAACCGACAAAAAAAAACCAAACUUCGGAAAUUCACAAACCUAUCCAAAACUCAUCCAAAAAUUCCAUAAUUCAUAUCAAUAAACUCCCCUUAAUAUUCCAUAUUUAAAACCAUACAAAACUCCCAGACAGCGGCGGCCGGAGGCCGAUUCCGGCGACCUCCAAUUCCUACCAAAUUUUAACAGUAGCUUCCUCUCCACUCCCUCUACAACUUUCCUAACUAGCACAAACCCAAAAUUCAAGCCUAGCUAUGCCAAUCGAACAGAAACACCAAAAACGUCCUAGAACUUCCACCUCAAAUUUCUCCUUACCUGAAGCGAACCGGAGUGACUCCUUUUAGGGCAAGGCAGCAAAAUUGUACCGGAGGAGGAAGUUCCGGCGAAGGAGAGCUUUGGAUAGCCGGAGGUUCCAGGCGUCGAUUCUCUCUCACGGUGGCGCUAGGGGGGCUGUCACCGGCCUAGAAUGGAAGCUAGGUUGGAGGCCGACCGAACGGGACCGGUGCGGCAGUCUCAGGCGGCCGGACAACGGCGGACGAGCGGCCGGAAGGUUUGGCAGCGGGAGGACUCGGGGAGAGAGAGGACCGGGAAGAAAAAGAGGGAAGAGAGAUAUGGGUUUGGGCCUCUAACCCCAAACCGGCCAACACUAAAUAUAUCAAAACCCAACUCCAAAAUUUACACCCCAAAAUAAUACCCUGAUAAAAAUUACUUUUUACUAGCUAAAAUUUACCAUUUUUACCGUCGUCACAUUUUUGUCCUACGAAUAAUUCUCCGCAAAUAACCGUCCCUCAAACCCUUCUUAGAGACCAAUUAAAUUAUAACCUCAAUGACGGAGACGGUAAAAUUUUUAUUAUAACCAAGCUAGUAAAUAAGGUAAAAAUUUAAGGGUCGGGAUGUGACAAUGGCAGCAAAGUCCAAAGGCCUUACUUCUCCUGUUUUUUAUUCUUCAAUACCUUCUUUCCUUCAGUCUGCGCUUGCAGCUGAAAUAGUCCAAGUGUAGUCACUUCCAGUAUUCAAUAAAAUCUGACCUUUUGAUCAAAAAAAAAAUUACCGUAAAAUCAAUAAAAAAAAAAAUAAAGUAAUUUCAAAAUAUAAAAAAGAAAAAAAUUAGUGGAACAGUUUUUGCCGAGUGCCGAGUGCAUUGACAGUUCUUUAUAAUCAAAAUCUGGACAAAAGUAAAACUUCAUUUUUUUUUUAUAAACAAAAGGAUAAAAACAAAUGAAAAAUUUUAAAUACACACCCCUAAUCUCUUAAUACACACCCAUUGCUUAAUACACCCAUCAUCUAGUUUUUCAUUUCGAUAUUAAACUUAAUACACAUCCCAAACUGCCUAUAAUACUCUUAUAUCUAAAACUAAGAAAUAAUAUGUUAUUUAGUAUAAUUAUUAUAAAUUUACUAUAUAUUUUGGUAACUCUUUUACAUAUUUUUUUUAUAUUUUCUGCUAGAAUUAUAAAUUUUUUCUUUUCAUCGUCAAAUUUAUAAUUAAAAGACUAUUAUUACACAAACUCAAAUCUCCGAUUAUGACAUCAAUCAUUUGGAAUUCGAAAAAAUAUCAACCAUUUCAAGUUUUUGAAAUUCACAAGCUAGUAAAAGUACAUUAGGUGUUUAAUUGACAACUUUGAGGUCACGGGUUCAAACCUCAUUGACAUAUGUAGGGUGUGUGAGUUAUUAAUAAUUUUUUUUUUUUAAAAAGUACAUUAGGUCACUAGCUAUUAAACAUAUAUACCUACUUUUUUCAAUACCGCAUGUCAAGACGAACAUGUAGUACUUCAAAAUGGUCUGCAAGAUCAUAACUAAAACUGAUACAAAAAAGAAAAAAGAAAAAAAGAGACAAAACCCAAAUGAACCGAUGUUAAUUAAACAAUACAUGUGAUUAUAAGGAAGCAGUCGAAAUUCGGGUCAUGAAUUCUAAAAGUAUUUUUUUUUUUUGGGUAUGAAACUGUAAAUUGUGGAGAAGAGUCAAGUUUAGGGAAGAAGUAAUCGUUUAGAUGGUUUUAGGGUAGGAGAUUAGAUUUAUAAUUGUGAUUUCUUUUUCUUUUUUAAUAAUACAUGCCUAAAAUAUUUGAUGUGAAACAUAAAUUAAUAUGAGUGUAUAUUAAGAGAUUAGGGGUGUGUAUUUACACUACCAGGACAAUCACUUUAGCCGACGAAAAAUUUUUGUCGGCCUGUUAGCUUAAUUCAUCGGCUAAGAUCUUAGCCGACGAGCCAUCGUCGGCUAAGAUUUCGUCGGGAAAAGGUCGUCUGUGAUGACUUUCGCCGACGAAAAAAAAAAUUUCGUCGGCUAUAGUCCCGCAGUUUAGCCGACGAAAAACAUGUCGUCGGUUCUUUUCCCAGACUUUAUCCGACGAAACAAUUAAGAUAUUCGUCUGCUAAAGUCUGUAAUAAAAAAAAAUUUCCCAGACUAUAACCGACGAAAUAUAGUAUGUUUCGUCGGCUAAACCUUAUAAAAAUAAUUUAAAAAAUAACUCUAGCCGACAAAAUAUAGUCUGUUUCAUCGGCUAAACCUUAUAAAAAAUUUUAAAAAAUAACUAUAGCCGACGAAAUAUAGUCUGUUUCGUCGGCUAAACCUUAUAAAAAAAAUUUAAAAAAUAACUAUACCCGACGAAAUAUGCCAUAAUUCGUCGGCUAAACCUUAUAAAAAAAUUUAAAAAUACUAUAGCCGACGAAUAAACCUUUAAAUAUCGUCGGCUAAACCUUUAAAUAUCGUCGGCUAAAGUUGCUGGUUUUUGAAAAAAAAAACUGCAGAAACUUUCGGCCACCUCCAAUCACCACCAAAAUUUGACAGAAUCUUCCUCUCAACAUUUCGAACAACUUUCUAGAAGAAGUCGAAGCCCAAUUCUAAGCCUAAACAGGUCAAUUGAAUCAAAAUAUAAAAAUCCCCAAUUUUAAACCCUAAAAACUUCAAAUCUUCGAUUCUCCUCACACACACCGAAUCGAGCUACCAAAUUCUAGGAGAAUGUAGUACUAAUCAAAGUCAACUUAUCCAUAUAUAGAACUCACCAAAUGGUGACCUGAGGAAGGAGAAAUUCGAUCGACACCGAAUCCGAACCGACGGAGUUUUGGAGCUCGAUUUAUCUCUCACGGCGGCGCCACUCGAUGUACCACCUGUCCAGCAAUGAAGUAGAGACGACGGCGAUAGUUUUGGGACAAGUGUGGCGGUCUCCGGUGGCUUCACGGCGGAGCUAGGCCGAGAAGAAAAUCUGGCAGGCGAAAUAGAUUUCUUACCAUCCACCUUCGGUAAUAUAUAGAACUUUAGCCGACGAAAUUCUUUAUUUUCGUCGGCUAAACUCUUUUGAAAAUUUUGAAAAUUUUAGUUGACCGCCAAAAAAUUUUGGUUGAAAAUUUUGAAAAUUUUUCGACUUUAGCCGACGACUUUUCAUAUAUUUUCGUCGGCUAAAGUCCUUUGAAAAUUUUCCUCCAAAUUUGGUUUACCGCCCAAAAAUUUUUGUCCUUCGCCGACGACUUUUUUAAUAUCUCGUCGGCUAAAAUCUAUAAACUCACGAAAACGCUUAUAUCUCCCUCUAUAUUACGUAGUUUGGUCAAACCUUCCACACGAAAAACUUUCACGUAGAUGAGACGCAACCGCCUAUAUAAAAAUUUUGAGACAUUUACCUUCCGACGAUAGGGCUUCCCAUAGUGAAUAAUAACGGUAAAUAGGGUUGACCACUACUAUCGGCACCGAGACUUUACCCGAUUUACGUGAUUUUUGAACCAUAGCCGUAUUUCACCAUUCUGAACACAUCUUAUUUCAGGAGAUUUUUGAUAAUUUUGCUUCCUAUGUAGAGUUGGUUCACAAAAUUGUAUAACCUACUAAACAAGUUAUACAACAUUAGUAGACACGUUGUGAUUCCGAUGACUAAAAUUCACAAACCAAAAUUCGACCGUCCGAUAUGAUCAUUAUGACGAAAGAUGUCUAUGGUAAAAAAUUCAACUGGAUCCGACAACGUUAAGGACUCGAUCGAAACGGUUAACCCUAAUCCAUCGUCACUUAUCACACGAAAACGCUCAUAUCUCCCUCUAUAUUACGUGGUUUGGACAAACCUUCCACACAAAAAACUCUCACGUAGAUGAGACACAACUGCCCAUAUACAAAUUUUGAGACAUUUACCUUCCGACGAUAGGGCUCCCCAUAGGGAAUAAUAACGGUAAAUAGUAGACACGUUGUGAUUCCGAUGACUAAAAUUUACAAACCAAAAUUCGACCGUCCGAUAUGAUCAUUAUGAAGAAAGAUGUCUAUGGUAAAAAAUUCAACUGGAUCCGACAAGGUUAAGGACUCGAUCGAAACGGUUAACCCUAAUCCAUCGUCACUUAUCACACGAAAACGCUCAUAUCUCCCUCUAUAUUACGUGGUUUGGACAAACCUUCCACACAAAAAACUCUCACGUAGAUGAGACACAACUGCCCAUAUACAAAUUUUGAGACAUUUACCUUCCGACGAUAGGGCUCCCCAUAGGGAAUAAUAACGGUAAAUAGUAGACACGUUGUGAUUCCGAUGACUAAAAUUUACAAACCAAAAUUCGACCGUCCGAUAUGAUCAUUAUGAAGAAAGAUGUCUAUGGUAAAAAAUUCAACUAGAUUCGACAACGUUAAGGGCUCGAUCGAAACAGUCAACUCUAAUCGGAAAUAAGAAAACUGCAUUUUGAAGCCCUAAACGGACUCGGAUGGCCAAAAAGGCCCAUACAUCAUAGCAUUAGCAAUGAGUUUGACUCGUAGGGCCGUUACGCUUCCGGAAAGGUAUCACAAUAGUCAAUCGGACACCAAAAACCAAAUCUGUAACAUAGUGAAUAAUAAGGGUAAAUUGCAUUGACCGCAACUAUCGGCACCGAGACUUUACCGGAAUACCGUGAUUUUUCAACCGUGGACGUAUUUCACCAUUCUGGUCAUAUCUUAUUUCACAACUAUUUUGCGUUUGAAGGUUCUACGUACAGUUUUUUUUUUCCCAGAUGAGUUGUUGUCUAGAUCUGCAAAUAUAAAGCACUUUAGCCGACGAAAUUAUAUUUUUCGUCGGCUAAACUUUUAAAAAUUUCGUCAGCUAAAGUUCACAGACUAUAGCCGACGAAAAAAAUUAUUCAGACGACGAAAUUUUAAUUUCGUCGGCUAAAGUUGACCAUAGCCGACGAAAAUUUUUAAUUAGCUGAAGAAGGGAAAUUUCGUCGGCUAAAGUCCACUUUAGCCGACCAAAAAAUAAUUCGUCGGCCUGGUUUUUUUAUUUUCAUCGGCUAAAGUCUUUCUUCUGGUAGUGUUAAAAUUACUCAAAACAAAUUGACACAAACGUUAGCGUGUCUUAUGAGGCUAGUAUUUUAUAACCAUUCCCAAUAUGAUAGUGUUAAAACUGCAAAACCACGUACUCUAGGAUUUCAAAAAAAUUAUUCUAUCUUUGUCCUACUAGGGGACGUUGUUGUUGGACGGGAUUCUAGGGCGGGCAAAUGGUAGCUAAGCCCUACAGCAGGUUGGCGGUGGAAUGAGAGAGAGAGAGAGGUUGUUCAUCGGUGCAGACUGAGAUGCUGUGGGAAGAUUUGUAUUGCAAAUUUGCAAUGCGGUGUUAUUCCGGUGGGGGGGAGGAUGUUGGCGCCGGGUAAGAGCGAUCAUUCUGACCUAUUCAAAAGGGCGAUGACAUGGAGCGGUAAAGUGAUGAGAUGGAGAAAGCGAGGCGGCGACUUGGCUAGUUUGUGGUUUUGAUUCGAGUCUCUUUGCUCCGAUUUGUUUGUUGUUGUUGAAGGGUGGUGUACUGUCUCUAUAAUUUGAGAUGGGUCAAGGAUGGUGGUUCUUCCUUGGUGGUGACCGACGUUGGCGAUAGACGUUGGCGGUGGACGACGUAUCUGCAUUCAGGUUUUUCAACCUCUUGGGCCGGAUCUAGGGUGGCCUUUUCCUUGAGCUCCAAAAGGCUUUGGCUGGGCCUGGGUUCCCCUUGGGCCUAAGUUUUGUUGGGUCUAUUUUGUUUUAGUUUUUCACUUUUUACGUCGGUUAGUUCUUGUUGAUCAAUGUAAUGGGGAAGUUAUUUGUACAUAUAUGCUGGUAAUUUUGGUAUAUAUAUAGUGUUUGAAAUGGUUGAUUCUUCUUGAGGGUAACUAUAAGGAUGUUAUCGAGACUUCUGGAUUAAAUUAAAUUACAGUUGAACCUUUUCGGUUCUUAUCCACUGUAAUUCAUUACCAGGACCAAUGUUCUAAAAGGCGCUAGGCGCUAGGCGGGCGGUAACCCACAGCCUAGAGCCUGGACAGCCUAGGCGAGGAUUAGGCGGGGACUAGGCGAUUUGUAUUUUUUAAGAUUUAUUAAUUAAAAAUAUAUAUUUUAUGCAAUUUAAUAUUUGAAAACGGUCAAAUAUAGAUAAAUUAUUCAACAUAAUCUAGUCAUACUCAUUUAUAAAAUAAAUUAUAACUAAAAUUUAGCAUAACUUCCUGUAAAAAUGAGCAACAACAGCAAUAAACAUAUACACUUCUAAUUUUAAACACACAAUUAACUCUUAUACUCUCAUACUCCCCACAAUAUAACAAUCCCACACAAAAAGAAAACAAAAAUAGCCGUAGAGCUUAGCAGCCUAGGCGGGCAAGGCGGCAUCUAGGCGGGCUAGGCGGCAUUUAGGCGAGCUAGGCGGCCGCCUAAUCGCCCACAGCCUGGCACAAAGGCCUGGAAGAAAAGCGAGACGGCUUGUUACAGCCUAGAGCCUAGGCGGGGACUAGGCGGUCCUAGGCGGGGCCUUUUAGAAGCUUGACCAGGACAAGCACUUUAGCCGACGAAAAAUUUUCGUCGGCCCGUUAUCCUAAUUCGUCGGCUAAAGUCUUAGCCGACGAGCCUUCGUCGGCUAUAGUGUCGUCGGGAAAAGGUCGUCGGCGAUGGCUUUAGCCGACGAACCUUGAGACCGUCGUCGGCUAUUAUCCAAACUUUAGCCGACGAACUAUUUUGUCAUCGGCUUUUGUUCAUGCAUUUAAGCCGACGAAAAUACUUCGUCGGCUAUUGUUCCAGACUUUAGCUGACGACAUCCUAUUUCGUUGGCUAUACUCCCAGACUUAAGCCAACGUAACAAAAAUAUUCGUCGGCUUUACUCCCAGACUUUAACCGACAGAACAGAGAUAUUCGUCGGCUAAAGUAUGGUUUAGCCGACGAAACAUGCCAUAAUUCGCGGGCUAAACCCUAUGGAAAAAAAAUUAAGAAUGCUAUAGCCGACGAAUUGUGGCAUGUUUCGUCAGCUAUAACUCCAUUCCAGUAAAAAAAAUACGUGAAAUUUCUAAAUUAUCAUUCCAAGCAAGCUGCAAAAAACACUAAAACAAUUCUAUAUAUAUAACCAACAAGAAGCACAUAAAACUAUAUAAGGUACCAACUACACAAAAUCUAGAUAGUUUAAAUCAAUAUCCGAUUCUGGGGCCUGCUGGUGAGGAGAUUGCGGCGGCAGAGGUAACUGUAUAGGCGCAGGCAUGGGCGGAGGUGGAAGUCUCUGAAGCUGGGCAGCUGUAAAAUCCUGGAAGUACUGGAACAUCUGCUGAUGCUGGGCCUGCUGGGCGGCAUGUAGGGCUCUAGCAUAGGCUCUAUAUUCGAUGAUCUGGGCGGCAUGAGCGGCAACCUGAGCAGUCGAGGCUCUCAACUUCCGACUCUAGUUGAGUCGUCGUGCUGCUAGUCGAGGCUGCCUUUCGUUGAAAUCCUGGAGUGGUCUUCAGGACCCCCUGGCCCUUCUUUCCUAGACCCCGGCAGUAGAAGUUGUUUUCUCGCAGUGGGAAGGCUGUGCCCAUGAUACUCGCCCCAACCCUCGGAUCUGAAGUGUCGAUCCGGGAUAUGGCUUCGGACAUCUCUUCCUCCUGCGUGUCCGGCCAUGUCUCCCUCACUAUAGCACUCAUCACCUCGUCACUAGCCUCCUUCACCUUUGCCUAAUUGGAUAGAAAAAAAAUUAUUAAUUAACAUUUUGACAUAUAUAAGUAAAAUUAAAAAUUCCGUAAAAAGGAAAAAUUACUUACUAUAUCCUCCUGGGAGUCAGGAUAUGUCUUCUCGUACGUAUAGACGUACUGGUUGACCUCUGGAUGUUCCCUGGCCGCCUCGUCCAUGAAGACAGCGAACGGUCUAGAACCGGCAUGAUGGUUCCUUGUGUUGCGUUGCCGGUUGACACGACCCACCCCAAAUUUCACCCUGAAACCCAGAGUAAGUCGUGCGGGGACCACCUCCAAGGAAAAUUUACCGAAAAAUCGGCAUAACCUCCCUUGAAAAUGGACAACCCUUCCUAUUAACACCUGCAAACACUUCUGAAAAUUUAAAUCCAACCUUAAACUCCUGGAACCUUCGUGCUCCCCAUAUCACAACAUCUCCCAAUUUAAUUACCAAUUUAAACAAGAUAAUCUCAUAGCCAACAGCCACAGUUCAGAGCAACUCUAUUUGAAAGGAAAUAAACUAGAAAUAUAAAAAUGAGCGGAAGCUACACUAUUGACUAUGCCUCUUCUCCAAAUACGUCCGACCACAACUAUGCAAUCCUGCAAACUGGGCAUUUUUAAAACGAAGAGCCCAGGGGAAAACAUUUGAAAACGAAACGUUAGAGUGAGUGGACAAAAAUAAAUUUACGAAUAAAAUAUUUGUUUCCCCAAAACAAUUUCCAAAGAAANNNNN